Erinaceus europaeus (western European hedgehog) is the source of this 2335-nucleotide long non-coding RNA. RefSeq lists it as uncharacterized. The record is from RefSeq and is a predicted model, not a curated record. The transcript is spliced from 2 exons. NCBI's taxonomy places the organism in Eukaryota, Metazoa, Chordata, Mammalia, Eulipotyphla, Erinaceidae.
CCAUUCUCAGGUGUGAGGUGGUGUCUCAGUGUAGUUUUAACUGGUGUCUCUUACAAAUAAAUGAUACAGAGCACUUCUUCGUGUCUUUGGCCCACCGGUGCGUCCUCUUUUUGGACACAGCCAGUCGAGUGUUUUUCCCCAAUUUUGUAUUGGAUUACUGCUUUUCGUUCUUGCUCAUUGCUUUCUGUACACUUUUUUUUUUCCAUCAAUUCCCUGUCAGGUGUGCGAUGUCCACAUAUUUCAUACCAACUGCUGGGUUACCUCUUGGUCCUUUGGUCGUUUCUCCCAAGGCCUAAAAACUAAAAAGCUUCCUAGCUGAGAGAAGACCCAGGUGUUUGUUUUUCCUGCAGUUUCCGUCACCAUGGGGUUGAGUGUCCAAAUGCCUCUCUCAUGUGAAGUCAGUUUGCCUGCGAUGUCUCCUUCUGGAUGUGUUAUGGCGUCCUGUUGAAUACCCAAGUCUUCAGCCCACCUCUUUCCCAGGGUGAGGGCCGUCUGUGGCAGGGUGGGGCGCUCUUGUGUGCACUGUGUGGAGCCUCAAUCUGUGUGGAGAAGGGUGACGCAGGCCGUGAGGUAUCUAUGCAGGUAUCUAUGCAGGGUUGUAGAUGUGCUGAGCUGUUUCUGAUGUCUCUGGACCUCUGAGCUGUUGGGGGCUAUGUCUCAGGAGUACAUUCUCUGUCCAGGCUCAGGAGCCUUUGGAAACCAGCAGGCAGGAUUAACCUGGACGUCUUCUCCUGGUUGGGUGCCAUCAGGGUGCCCACCUUAGUGUUGUAGCCAUGAAUCUUAGCAGACUGUGCAGGACCUGCGCCCUGGUGUCCUUCCCCGAGAAUUCCUGCACACCGGGUAUGUGCCUGGGGACUGGCGCACAUAAUGGAGCCACAGCAGAGGAGAAAACCGACCAGGUUCCUGAUUUCAUACUGUGGGUCACUAAGAACACAGCCCUCCGAUGGCAAGUGCUCUGCGGGAUAAAUCAUCUCUGUGGCUCUGUGACUACUGCACCAGGACCCACUGUAUCUAGUGGGCAUUUCUUUUUGAUAGUGAGAGAAAGACAGAUAGAGGAGGAGAGAGACCGAGAAGAAGACACAACCUUCACCACUGCUCCACUGCUUGUGAAACUUCCCCCUGCAGGUGGGGACUAGGUACAUGAAAUACAGCCCUUGCACUUAGGUCUUCUUUUAAAGGAACUCUUUUUUUAUUUUAUUUUAUUUUAUUUCAUUUAUUUAUUUAUUUAUUCCCUUUUGUUGCAGGUCUUCUUAAAAAAUAUAUAUAUGGGCAGGGGUAGAUAGCAUAAUGACUAUACAAAGAUAUUCUCAUGACUCCAAAGUCUUAAGUUCAAUCCCCUGUACCAACAUAAGCCAGAGCUGAAUAGUGCUCUGGUAAAUAUAUACAUAUAUAUGUGACACAGAGAGGAUGAUUGAGAGAGAGAGAGAGUUAUCAAAUCACCACUCCGCUGUAGCUUAUGGUGUUGUCAGGGGUUGAACUGGAACCUUGGAGCUUCAGGCAUGCCAUCAAUCUGCUCUUCACUACUUGAGCUAUUUCCCUGCCCUUAUUUAUGUCUUCUUUUAUUUCUUUUCUCAGCUUUUUUGCACUUGUCAGCACACAGACAAAAAGACAUGGGGUCUGCACUGUUUGGGGUAAAGCUAUUAGAGUUGAUAUGUGUGAAUGGUUUCUUUAUAGUUCUGUUACGUAAUUGUUCAUUGCUAGUAUGUAGGCAACUGUGUGUGUGUGUGUCCUGCAAUACCUGCUUUACUGGGAUUUUCUAUGAAAUCAGUCCUGUCACAUGUAUACUAGCACCGUUUUAUUCACUCCUCCCCAAGCUGUCAGCCGUGCAUUUCUUUUUUUGCAUUAGUAGAGUGGUUAGCAUUCCCAGUACACUGUUAAGUAGCAGUGCUGACAACAGACAUCCUGACUAUGUUCUGAAUCCUUCUAAGAAAGCUGUUUUUCUGCAUUAACUAGGAUGGAAAGUGUGGGUGGUUUUUUAACUAUUGGUUUUUCAUUUGCCACCAGCGCUAUGGCUGGAUCUAAUUACCUCACAAAGACUCCACUGCUCCUGGUAGCUAUUUGUUUUCUGGGAGAGAGAGACACACACACACAGGAGAGAGAGAUAGAGAGAGUAGGGAGAGACAGAAACAGAGAAAGGAAGAGAGAGACUCAAGUGUGUCAGCACUGCUACACUGCUCUUGUACUUUUCCUUCCUGUAGAUGGGAACUGGGGAGUCUUGAACCAGAAUCCUGGCACACAGUAAUAUGUCCACUCUACCAGGUGCACCACUGCCCACUAUCAAGUGUGGGUAUUUUUAAACUUUCUCUUCUUCUGUUUAUGAGUGGGAUCAUCCCAU